UCUUUUCUGUCUUCAAUUUCUACUAACCCUUAUAAAUACUUAGUGCAUCUAAACAAUAUUAUUAAUUCAUUGCCUUAACUGUAUAAAAAAGGGUAUUUUAAAGAAACAGGUUUCUUAUGGAAUUUAUCUUUGUACUGAAAUCUAUAGACCUAUAAAUAUUGUUCCAAAGAAGUUAAAAUAGGAAGCAUCUACUGUAGUAGAGCCCUAUUUUGGCAAUAUAAAUUCCUUUUAAAUUACUGAGCCUACUCUUUUAUAUUGUUUGGGCACCUCUGAAGAGGUAGAACCCCUAUUAGAAAGAGUUAGGUGUCAGGAUUUAAAUAGAAUUUAGGCCAUUCAAAUGUCUCUUCUUACCAAAUAUUAGUGUUAGGUCACAUAACACUAGAGUUUCCUCAGUUGUUUCACUAACUGAUCUGCAUAUUCUUUUCAAAGAUAACAAAAGUCAUAUCUACUUUGCAGAAGAGCCCAUUGUGAAAAUUUCUCUGUUUUAAUUGUUCUUAGAGUGCCUCCAUAUGUGUCUUGGCAUAAUUAUGUUUAUUAUGAGUAAAUUACUCUCUUUUGGUGAAAUAAGCUGGUACAGGAAUUGAUAGAUCAUGUUUUUACUGAAUGUCCCAUUGGUGAAUCUUGGUCCUGUAGCAUGAAUAACGAGGCUCUGCAGGCAUCUCUGCCUGUUUGCAGGUCAGGGUCAUUCCAGUCUGGUGAAUCCUGUUCCUUGCACUUUUGCUCAGUUGGGAUGUUUUAAUGAAAACAUUGGCUGUCUGAGAACUGAGAAAUGAAGUUAACUUAGAUUUUUAUUGUCUCAUGAAAGUAUGAUGUGUCAAAAAUGUGAAUACCUGAAACACUUUUUGGUGGACCAUUUUUAAAAAAAAAUACAUUACUUCACUGCUACAGGCCUAAAUUAGCACUGAAAUUUGUAUUGGGAAGCCAAACCACAAACAAUAGAGAGGAGAGAACAGGGAGCCCCUGGGCCCCUAAUUUACCUCCACUUGCUGCAGAAAAAAGGUAAUGUUGCCAGUAUGUUUCACUAAGUAUCAGCUCCCGAAAAGGAAUGAGCUUACCCAGGGUGAGAGCUGUAGCCAGUGAAAAAAGGCAGCUCCUAAAGCUAUUGGGGUAUAAUAAACAGUUAUCAUUGAAAGCUGAAGCCAAGAAUCAGCAGGCAGUGUUUGAUACAGUUGACACGUAACCCUAGUUAGAAUUGCAAUUCACACUGUCUCUUUAAUCUUGGGAAAGGGUCUUCGGUAGAGUAACUUUAAUUUAUUGUUACUUCAGCAAUGAUACCAAUUAAGCAGGUCUCCAAAUGCCAAAUUUUCUACAGACCAGCAGAUUUUAUAUUUAUAUUAUUUAUUUUAUAUUUUAUAUUUAUAAGAUUUAUAAAAAGUUAAUUAUAUCAUUAAGCAAAGAACAGAGAAACCUGUCAUGAAAAAUUCUAUUAUCUGCCCUCAUCAUGUGUUAAACAAAGGGCAUGUAUACAGGAGGAAAGGCAGCACUGAACUGAAUGGGAUUGGUUUUGUACGUCUGUGAUUAUAUUGUGAAGUGGCAGAUACAUUUACUCCUAGCGUUCUCAAUGACAUAUAUGCCCAUAUAUAAAAAUUAGAUAUUUUCAUAGCUUAUUCCUUGAUACGCAAAGAAGAGAAAAUAUUUGCUCUUUGCAGCCCUGUAUUUUUAUUGGUAAAAUGUUGCAAUCAACCUUUUGUCUUACUACUUAAUUUCUUUUUUUUUUGUCCUCUCUCUACUAAGUUUUAUCUUUAGCUGCUGAAUAAGAUUAAUAAUCCCCAUACCUUAGUUGCAGAAGUUUAAUAAACAAAGCUUAAUUAAAACAAGAGGAGCAGAAUAAAGCUAAAGGGUUCAGCUUUAGCACUGUAGAUUCAUAUAAGUUUUUUAUUGUUUGUUGUGUGUUUUUAAAAAUUGAAGUGGGGAGAGGACUGGAACAGAACUUCAGGUUUUUGUAUUUAAUUCAACUAAUAGCAUGUGCUGAUAAGUAAUAAAUAACAGUGACAGAGUGACUAAAUAAAUUAGUUUCCUCAAACAGUGAUUCAUUCACUGUCUUUCAUUGCCAUCAGGUUAAGUGACAGAUUCUUUUUGUCAGCCUAAAGGAGAAAUGUUCAAUAGUGUAACAACCUCCUUUUAAUUCCAGCCACAGCAGCAUUUUAAAUGCAUUGAACUAGUAUAAAUAAAAAUCCAGCAAUUAAACAAAACUUGGGCUCCUUAUUGACUUACAAAUAAAAUCCCUGGAGAAUCAGUUAUCAAGAAAACAUCUUGCAGUGAUUCAGUGCACUUUCCUGGAGAAACAUUGCUGACAACAGGCAAGGUUCUUGUACUUUUGCAGAAAAAGGAUUAUUGGUAUUGAAUCUGGACAUCAGGACAUCAGAAGGAUUUCUGGACCUCAGGAGAAAUUUCUUCAUGGACAGGGUUGUUAAACAUUGGAAUGGAGUGCCCAGGGUGGAGUCACCAUCCCUGGAAGUGCUCAAGAAGUGACUGGAUGUUGCACUUUGUACUGUGGCCUAGUUGACAAGGGGAUGAUCAGUCAAAGGUUGGACUUCAUGAUCUCAGAGGUCUUUUCCAACUGAAAGGAUUCUGUGAUGCUAUGAUUCUGUCAAUCAUGAAUAGAGUCCCUUAGUAGGCUUCUGCUAAGCACUCAUCACUUAAGCACAGGAUAAAUAAAGGCCAUAUUCUUGCAAAAAUUCUUUACUAUCAGGUCUAUACCCACUUAUGGAGCAGAUUGGUAAGCUCUGUAAGUAUGGACCAUUUGGAGUAUUUUCUAGUAGAUUAACAUACUGUGUGCUUUUAUGAACCAGCCAUGGUGAUUGGAAAACAAGAUGCUAAACAGAAGAAUUAAAAAUCAUCUUUUCUGACCUUCCCAUUGGAAGUCCAACAGCAGGGUGAUAGAGUAGCCUAGGAGGGAUACUGCCAGAGUGAAAUUUAUGGGCUAUUAUAGUUUAAUAAAAAGCAAUUUCAAUUCCUGGAAGGUAUCCUCAAACUUUUUCACACUAGAAACCACACCUAUUCUAAACUAUUUUUUUUAGGCACUUUCAUUUGUCAGAGCUCUUUUCUCUCGCCAUACUAACACCCCUUAGUGUAACUAAAGUAGCAUCCAACAUUGGCUGUAAUACAAGGAGGAACAUUUGCUGGUUAUUUUCUAUGUCUUUUAAAAAAAGAAUUAGUCUGAUUUGAUAAGGAAAUGCACUACUGAUCACACUGAAAACUCACUUUUUGUAAUAUAUUCUUAAUGUCACUAUGGUAUUAGGACAGGUGCUGACUGUAGCUUCUGUUUUUAGCUCAGCACCAGACCUGCAAACAAUAUUGAAGUUCCUCAUUAUUUAUGACAUUUCUCCCAAACACCUGUGCUUUAUACCUACAAGUGUUCUUAGUGCAUUUUCAGCUAAUUACUGCUCUUAUUAACCAUGUAAAGGCUGUUAUUUGUCUCUGACAUUUAUCUAACCUUCUGAUUUGCCUUUCCAUCCAGUUGUCAUGGAACUGUAAGGCACAGUUCUGCCCUGCACAGCAUUAAUUCAAGUCCAGGACACAAUAAGGGACUGCUCUUCAUGUGCAUCAGCGUUGGUCAUGCUGGUUAUGCCUUGACAAAAACCGUAACUUGUACUUGUCUAAUGGUACUGGCCAGUUGCAAUACAAAGGGCACAACACCUCCUCAACAUAGAGAUGGUUCCUGCCUCACAUAAUUCUCCUUCUUGGCAAGUGCUGCAAAGUUAUGGACACAAGACCUGAUUUGCUGAUCGUCCUAGUUUUUGGUAACUCUGCAGAGCUGUCGCAAGAAAGCCAGAAUGAGCUGAAUUAGUCAUAUCAAGGUAACAAAGGCCAUCCUUGGGAGAGGAAUAACUGAAAACAAGGAAAAAAAUACGGAAGACUGGAUGGAUGAGUUCGCUGCACAGAAAUUCUUGGAAGAAAAAUCAGAGACGACCCAUGAUGAAAGGUGAAUAUUUCUAUAACCAUAGAUCUUCUCAGCUGCUCGAAAUAUCCAAACUGCAACUUUGCUCCUUCAAUCCUGCUUGGUUGAUAUGGGGCGAGAGGUGGACGUUGUCCCUAUGAAGUUCUCCAAGGCUUUCCAUUCAGUUUGCCCCAGCUUCCUCCUAGAGAAAUCGAUGUGUGACAAUCUAGACAAGUGGUCUGUGGGAUGGGUGGAAAGCUGCACCCAGAGGGGUAUGGUAAAUAGCUCUUUUUCAAGCUGGCAACCCGUCACAGGUGGACCCAAAGCUGUUGAUUAUCUUCAUGAGUGAUCUGGACAAUGGGAUCAAAUGGUCCCUGAUGAAAUCUGCUGGUGAUUCCAAACUGAGUGGGGAAAUGGAUAUUUUGGAAGGGAGAACCACUCUACAGGAAGACCUGUAUGGGCUGGAAGAGUGGAUCAACAAGAACCUUAUAAAGUACAACAAAGACAAACGUAAGGCCUUGCACCUGGGAAAGCAUAAUCCAGGAGUGCAGCACAGGCUGGGGUCUAUGGAGAAGUGGAAGAGCUCUGUGGAAAGUGACCCAGGGGUCCUGGGGGACAUCAAAUUCAGUGUGAGUGAACUGUGAGCUGCUGUGGCAAAGACAGCCAACGAGAUGCUGCACUGCAUCAGCAAAGGCAUCAUCUGCAGAGGGAAAACAGGGCCCUUAUCUCACUCCACUCAGUGCUUGUCAGGCCACACCUGAAAUACUGUGCUCAGUUUUGGUCCCUGAUAUUCAAGGAGGCUGGAGAGAGUCCAGACAAGGGCCAUAAAGAUGAUCUAAGGACUAGAAAACCUAUCGUGUGGGGAAAGGCUGAGACAGAUGGGUUUGUUCAACCUUGGGAAAAGAAGGCUCAGGGGAGACCUUGUCAGCAUGUUCCAGUGGCUACAAAGAAGAUGGAAACUCUUUUUGCGAGGAGUCACUUAGAAAAGACAAGGGAUAAUGGGUAAAAGUUACACCUGGCGAGGUUCCGGUUGAACACAGGAGGAAAAUUUUUCGCAAGGAGAACAAUUAACCAUUGUAAUAAUCUUCUCCCCAGGGAAGUGGUGAAUUCCCCAACAUGGACACUUUUAAGAUCCAGUUGAACAGAGUGUUGUGCCGUCUUCUCUAGGUCUUUCUUUGGCCACGGAAAGUUGGAUCAGAUGAUCCCUGAGGUCCCUUCCAACCUGGUGUUUUAUGACUCUGUGAAUUCAGGCCAAACUCGAAUCAGCUUUUCCAGAUAUUUUAAACACGUUAAUUAUACAGGCAUAGACUCCCUAGUUUAGUGGGGUUUUCUUUGGUUGGUUUGUUGGGGUUUUUUUUGUUUGUUUGUUUGUUUUUUAAACUAGGCUGUGUAGUAUAAAGAAUGUUUGUAUUAGUAGUUUCAAGAUUCAUAAUGUAUCCUACUUCUGUGUUUACAGUAUGUUGCAGAAUGUCAAAAGAUCUCAUUUUAUGCUUAGAAUAAAAAAAUUCUAGACUUGUCAUAGCUAUUAUGCAAUGUAAAACAAAAUCACUACAAAACAACUGCUAAUUCUGUUGGCCUUUUAUUGGUGUCAAGUGUUUUAUAAUUUUGUAAUCUGACUGUGCUAUGAAUAAAUAAGGGCAAUUUACUUUGAACUGUAAAA
Long non-coding RNA from Pseudopipra pipra, 5540 nucleotides. RefSeq lists it as uncharacterized. The record is from RefSeq and is a predicted model, not a curated record. The transcript is spliced from 3 exons. NCBI's taxonomy places the organism in Eukaryota, Metazoa, Chordata, Aves, Passeriformes, Pipridae.